This 875-nucleotide ribosomal RNA is filed under the name uncultured eukaryote. RNAcentral describes it as "SSU rRNA". It matches the Rfam family "Eukaryotic small subunit ribosomal RNA", at positions 572 to 1470 of the family's 1831-position model. The record is from RNAcentral.
AGCCGCGGUAAUUCCAGCUCCAAUAGCGUAUAUUAAAGUUGUUGUGGUUAAAAAGCUCGUAGUUGGAUCUCGGCGGACUGAGGGCGGUUUGCUUGCUAGUAUUACUGCCCUAUAGUCCGUAGUUUUGCCAGAGGUUUCGGGGUGCUCUUAAUCGAGUGUCCCGGGAUGCUGGCAGGUUUACUUUGAAAAAAUUAGAGUGCUCAAAGCAGGCUAUUACGCCUGAAUAUUCGUGCAUGGAAUAAUAGAAUAGGAAGUCGUUUCUAUUUUGUUGGUUUUCGGAAAUCGACUUAAUGAUUAAUAGGGACAGUCGGGGGCAUUUGUAUUCAAACGACAGAGGUGAAAUUCUUGGACCGUUUGAAGACAAACUACUGCGAAAGCAUUUGCCAAGAAUGUUUUCAUUAAUCAAGAACGAAAGUUAAAGGUUCGAAGGCGAUUAGAUACCGCCCUAGUUUUAACCAUAAACGAUGCCAGCUAGCGAUCUGCGGACGUUUUUUUUGUAGACUCCGCAGGAAGCUUCCGGGAAACCAAAGCAUUUGGGUUCCAGGGGAAGUAUGGUUGCAAAGCUGAAACUUAAAGGAAUUGACGGAAGGGCACCACCAGGAGUGGAGCCUGUGGCUUAAUUUGACUCAACACGGGAAAUCUCACCAGGCCCGGACACUGGAAGGAUUGACAGAUUGAUAGCUCUUUCUUGAUUCGGUGGGUGGUGGUGCAUGGCCGUUCUUAGUUGGUGGAGUGAUUUGUCUGGUUAAUUCCGAUAACGAACGAGACUCUGUCCUGCUAAAUAGUGUCUGCUUCUCUUUUGAGCAGACAAUUCUUCUUAGAGGGACUGGCGACUCUUAGUCGCACGAGAUUGAGCAAUAACAGGUCUGUGAUGC